RNAcentral lists this ribosomal RNA (445 nucleotides) under uncultured Eubacteriales bacterium. Its description in RNAcentral is "bacterial SSU rRNA". It matches the Rfam family "Bacterial small subunit ribosomal RNA", at positions 336 to 797 of the family's 1533-position model. Lineage: Bacteria; Bacillati; Bacillota; Clostridia; Eubacteriales. The record is from RNAcentral.
UUCCUACGGGCGGCAGCAGUAGGGAAUAUUCCGCAAUGGGCGAAAGCCUGACGGAGCAACGCCGCGUGAGUGAAGAAGGUCUUCGGAUCGUAAAGCUCUGUCAACAGGGACGAAACAAGACGGUACCUGAGAAGGAAGCCACGGCAAACUACGUGCAAGCAGCCGCGGUAAUCCGUAGGUGGCAAGCGUUGGCCGGAAUAACUGGGCGUAAAGCGCAUGUAGACGGCAUGAUAAGCCAAAUGUGAAAUGUAGGGGCUCAACCCCUAAACUGCGAUUGGAACUGUCAAGCUUGAGUGCAGGAGAGGAGAAUGGAAUUCCCAGUGUAGCAGUGAAAUGCGUAGAGAUUGGGAGGAACACCAGUGGCGAAGGCGAUUUGCUGGACUGCAACUGACGUUGAGAUGCGAAAGCCAGGGGAGCAAACGGGAUUAGAUACCCUUGUAGUCCG